AGAGUUUGAUUUUGGCUCAGGAUGAACGCUGGGGGCGUGCUUAACACAUGCAAGUCGAACGAAGCACUUUACCACGAUUUCUUCGGGAUGACGGUUUGGUGACUGAGUGGCGGACGGGUGAGUAACGCGUGGGGAACCUGCCCCAUACCGGGGGAUAACAGCCGGAAACGGCUGCUAAUACCGCAUAAGCGCACAGUACCGCAUGGUACGGUGUGAAAAACUCCGGUGGUAUGGGAUGGACCCGCGUCUGAUUAGCCAGUUGGCGGGGUAACGGCCCACCAAAGCGACGAUCAGUAGCCGGCCUGAGAGGGCGACCGGCCACAUUGGGACUGAGACACGGCCCAGACUCCUACGGGAGGCAGCAGUGGGGAAUAUUGCACAAUGGGGGAAACCCUGAUGCAGCGACGCCGCGUGGAGGAAGAAGGUCUUCGGAUUGUAAACUCCUGUUGUUGGGGAAGAUAAUGACGGUACCCAACAAGGAAGUGACGGCUAACUACGUGCCAGCAGCCGCGGUAAAACGUAGGUCACAAGCGUUGUCCGGAAUUACUGGGUGUAAAGGGAGCGCAGGCGGGAAGACAAGUUGGAAGUGAAAUCUAUGGGCUCAACCCAUAAACUGCUUUCAAAACUGUUUUUCUUGAGUAGUGCAGAGGUAGGCGGAAUUCCCGGUGUAGCGGUGGAAUGCGUAGAUAUCGGGAGGAACACCAGUGGCGAAGGCGGCCUACUGGGCACCAACUGACGCUGAGGCUCGAAAGUGUGGGUAGCAAACAGGAUUAGAUACCCUGGUAGUCCACGCUGUAAACGAUGAA
Molecule: ribosomal RNA, 806 nt
Filed under: uncultured bacterium
Lineage: Bacteria
Description: bacterial SSU rRNA
Rfam family: Bacterial small subunit ribosomal RNA
Source: RNAcentral